AUUCGUUAGUAGAUGCGCGAAGGCAAUAUUUUCAACACUCGAGUCUCCCUUACAGGUAUUAGGGUUUAUUUCAGUUAAAGGGGAAAACGACGACGAAGAUAAAGACGUAAAAGAACCUAAAUCUUUUGCUAUUUCGGUAGUUACUCACUCGAUUUUGCCUAAUUGUGGGAGGAAUUUGAUGCGAAUUGGUCCAAUUUGAGCUCUACGGAUCUCUUCUGUAUCAAGCAAGGUGAUGAUGGUAUAUCCUCAUACAAGAUAUUGAUUGAUGGAUCCUGAAAGCAAGAAGUUUGGAAAAGGGCCAAGGGAACUUACGGGUGCUGUGGAUCUUAUAAGUUACUAUAAGUUGUUGCCUCACCAUGAGUUCUUCUGCAAGAAAUCACUUCCUUUGUCGAUUUCGGAUACACAUUACCUGCAUAAUGUUCCUGGAGACUCAGAAAUUAGGAAAGGCGAAGGGAUGCAGUUGGAUCAGCUCAUUCAGAAUACAUCCUUCCCAAGAGAGACAAAUUCACGCAUACAACCAUUUGACCUGGACAUCCUGAGGGAAGCAUUUCAGUUGAGGGAGACUGCUCCUGUUGACCUUCCAUCUUCAGAGAAGGGAAUUCCCACCAUAGCCGGAAAAUCUAAAAGCGAAGCGAAAGACAAGGAAAGGAAGCACAAAAAGCACAAGGACAAAGACAGGGAUAAAGAUAAAGAGCAUAAGAAACACAAACAUCGUCAUAAAGAUCGAAGUAAAGAAAAGGAUAAGGAGAAAAAGAAGGAUAAAAGCAGUCAUCAUGAUUCUGGUGCUGAACCCUCAAAGAAACACCAUGAGAAGAAGCGGAAGCAUGAUGGAGAUGAAGAUCUCAAUGAUAUUCACAGGCACAAGAAAAGUAAGCAUAAAAGCUCAAAGAUCGAUGAAAUGGGUGCAAUAAAGGUAGCAGCUUGAAAGUGGCAUGUGAUCUAUAUUAUUGUUUGUCCUCGAUGUUGCAAAUGAAAAUUCGAGAGGUCCUUACUUAGUGUAGUCAAAUUAAUUGAGAAAUGUAUAAAAUUGUAACAAGUACUAUUAUGUGGAACUCUACUUGUUCGUGGGGUUUAUUAAUCUUUUCACUAAACAAAAAUGGAUCUGCAUGUUGUAAGUGAUUCUGUGGUUGGGUUCCUGAAUUUCCUGUAAGAUGAAGCACAUCUUUUAAAAUAUACAAAAAUUGAACAUUGUAAUUGUUCUUUCGCCCAGAUCUUUUAUCUUGAUCUGCAUGCUCAUUUGCUUUUAUUUUUCUUGGCUUUUUAUUCUUUUAUGUAAAUGUAUUUUGCUAAAAGUAAAACUGAACAACACCUUUUGGAUUAGUUGGUACUAAUUAGUUGAUUAAUUUCAGUACAUGAUAUAUCGUAUCAACCAAUUCUAAAGGUAGUAUUUUUUAUAAAUUCAUAUCUGCUUUGGAAAUUAAAACCCUCUAUUGCGUUGGGUGCUGUAUUAUAAAUUAUAUGUUCCAUCACAAAAGUUCAGGCACUUGCUUUAGAGACUUGUAUUAACGACUGUGUGGCACUGAUUUUGUCAGUGAAGUAUACAUUUUUAUUAAAAAGUUGAGGCGUUGUGUUUUAGAAACUGGUACAAUACAUGUAUAAUAAAUGCAUUUGUAGUUUGUGCACUUGUACUGUACAAAUGAUCGAUUUGCUUAUUAUUGAAUAUUCAAAGGUUCUAAUGUUAGAUCGACAAGGUCCAUUAAAUGGGUCUGUUUGUUAACAGGCUUAGGCCAAUAUAUAUAGUGGGUUUUAUAAAAAUCUUCCCAUGCGUUCAAACCUCCAUGGGUGAGUCUGUUCUAAGACCAUGCAUAAAGCUAGUAUUAAUCUUUCUAAAGUCUGCCGUUGGUAUGGUUGCAUGUAGAUGUUGGAUAUCUUUUGCAGAAUAUGUACAAUAAUUUAGAUUCUUGUGAAUAGCUUCCCUCUUGGCCUGUAGGAUGUUUGGUGCAAUCUGAACUUUGAAGUGAUCAAACUAUCCAGCUACUAAAAUAGGCUUGUAUUUACAUCAGUUAGUUAACGUAGCAUAUGCCUUUUUCGGGGAAGUCAAUUGACCAGCUGUAUCUUGUCUAUCAGGCCUGGACAUUGACAGUUGGUUUGAUCACCUGUGUGGGACUAGGUUUUUGAAUACAAUUUUUUGUAUAAGAUGCACAAAAAUAGAAAUAAUGUCGCCUGUCUUGCAUCUCUUAUGACACAUAAUAUUAUCAAUCAUACG
Cynara cardunculus var. scolymus (artichoke) is the source of this 2206-nucleotide RNA transcript. It is a transcript of the gene named mediator of RNA polymerase II transcription subunit 19a-like, with no coding region annotated. The record is from RefSeq and is a predicted model, not a curated record. The transcript is spliced from 7 exons. Lineage: Eukaryota; Viridiplantae; Streptophyta; Magnoliopsida; Asterales; Asteraceae.